GGUCUUUUUCCAUUCCCUUGCUGCAGCUGUGAGCUCUUUUGGAGAGUCUCAGAGAGAUUCAGUAUUGUUCUGUUUUCUUGGGCAAGAGAUUUUUGAUACACGCCAAGAAAAAGGUGGAUUUGGGGAGAUAUGGGAACUUAUGCUAAAGUCCCUCAUUCAGGUACUGUCUGUUAACUUAGACAUGGCACUUCAGUACUCAGCACGGAGCAAGACAUCUCUUAUGGAGGCAUCCAGGACCAUAAAGCCCCACGAGGUGUCUCUGCACAAAGGCCUGGAAUGGAGACCUGUCCUCCAGUUCUCUUUGUACAUCUCAUGGACCUAAAGCACCUGGUCUUUCUGCCUUCAUUUCUUACACUAGAAAGAAGUGGCAGUACUAUUUUGUUUUCUCUUGAGGGUUCUGUGUUGGCUGAUUUAUAAACAGGGAUGAAAUCUGGAAGUCUUUACAUAGGGGCUUGCUAUAAUUCCAGUCCUUUGUCCCAUGUCUUCCACUAGACAAACGAAUGCAUUAAGGGCCUCUGAUGUGCACAGCAACUGCUGCUCAGCUGUCUUUAUGACCCGUACAAUAUUUACUGUGCUGCCAGGUUCAACAGUGCUGGAAAAAAAUAAUUGUAGAUGCAAUUUUACUGUAGAAAUUGUUUAGAACCUACUAAAGCUUUAGCCAGAGCAUAUGGGAUUUUUUUCUUCUAUAAAAAGCCCGAGGGUUAGUGUCUGUUUAAUAUUCAGGAGGCAAGAAAUGCUUCUAGCACUCAGAAACAGUGAAAAGCAUCCUGGUGGGAUCCCUGAGAUGAGAUACUAAAUCCUGAACUUGCACUCCUUGUUCUCUUAUUACAGCAGACAUCGAGGGGUAGCCCUUGUGUCCCUGCACAUCAUCACCAGCAGCAACAAAGACAUUAACUCAGUGCUGCUAAUGAGGGCCGGGUGAGCACUGGAAUAGGAAGCUGUGUUGACAUUUAAAAGAUCCCAGCCAUCAGGCUCCAUGUUGCCUAAUUGCCAGGGCUGUGUGGGAAGCACUGCUUCAAUGUCUCCAUCUAGUAUGGACAUGACGGGCAGGAAUACACUACUCCUAUGGAAUGUCAGUUACUUCAGGAAACAAUUAGCCUUUCUGAAUAUUCAAAAUAUGUCAAAACAUUUUUCCUUUUUACCUUUUAGAGCUCUUCAAAGCUGUGAGUGUGUCAACAUCAUUCCACCUACUUGGAGGCGGCUCUGGAAUAUUUGAUUCACAGAUGUUUCUCUUGGGUUUGCCUGAGGCAUCUCUACUAGGAAGACAUCCAAUCUUGAUCUGAAAACAUCAAGAGACAGAGAAUCCAGCCCUACUUUGGAUGAAGAAGAUCUUUUGCAUAUGGUAUUAUCUUCUUGUGGUGGUACUUGUAUGCUUUAAUCAAGUCAUCAAGUCAUGGCUCCAUCUUUUUGAUAAGGUGCCUGCAGCACACUCUGUGUGUGAAUGCCUCUCAGUGAUGUAUUAAACGAAUCACCUACCUGUCACAUCAUCUCAGAUGCAGGUCUGCAGUCAGAGAGAACUCACUGCCUAAAUGUUUAAAACGAGCAAGGAAAGUCAAUUACGUUUUUUAUAAACACAGCUGGAUCAUGAGCAUGAAAAUCCGAGUUAAUAAGAGUCUGACCACGAAGCAUUCCGUGAGCAGGGUGGGAUUUUUGUGUCGGCAGAGCCGUAGCUGUCCCAGUGGCUGGGUGGCAGUGGAGGUGUGCUGCCCGUGGGAAACCUGACCCGGCGAGUUCCCAGGCGGGCGAGCGGAACGCGGUCACUGCCGGUACCUGUCGGGAGAGCAGCCGCACACCUCACCCGCCGAGUGCCGCUGCCAAAGCACUGCUGGCGGCCCGAGAAACUGUUAGAAACAGUGCUCGGAUUCCUCAGCUGCCUAAAAACUCUGCUGAGAGAAGAAUCAAAAUAGCCAUAUACAAAACAUCACUUCCCAGCCUCUGUCAGUCAUUCCUGGGAAGCCGAUAUGUGUUCUGCGAAUGCAUCAUGGAGAAACCUGGCCAGCAGAGGUCAGAUAUGGAUUUGAACAGUUAGGGAGAAAAAAACUUUUCCGAUAUAUUCUUUGGCUUGAUAUUGUCUCUUGAUAUUUGAGGAUGGAUAGGUGUUUGGUGCUAGUGUGCAGAGCUGGUAUGCCUUGAGCCAUUUUAGUUUCCAUCCUUAUAGUAUUUGCUGUGUUACUCUCCUUUAGUACAUUUUUAAUGGUAAAUUUCAUAUAUUGACUCAGUAAUGAAAACUAGAUUAUAAGGAAAGUUAUAAUUUUAAAACAUGAUGUAUGUA
Non-coding RNA from Taeniopygia guttata (zebra finch), 2272 nucleotides. The record is from RefSeq and is a predicted model, not a curated record. NCBI's taxonomy places the organism in Eukaryota, Metazoa, Chordata, Aves, Passeriformes, Estrildidae.